Long non-coding RNA from Oncorhynchus tshawytscha (Chinook salmon), 1123 nucleotides. The record is from Ensembl. NCBI's taxonomy places the organism in Eukaryota, Metazoa, Chordata, Actinopteri, Salmoniformes, Salmonidae.
GCUAAAUUGAAUGAUUUUACAAGGCUAGAGGAGCCUUCAUACGGUCCAGGAAACAAUGGCGUGAAAAGGGCAUAAAGAACAGCAGAUAACAGUCUUUAGAACUUUGUUUGAGGCUUCUACUGUGAGGUGAAUGAGAGGGGGCUGAAUGAGAGGGGGCUGAAUGAGAGGGGGCUGAAUGAGAGGGGAUUGAGGUGUCUGGCCGAGUGCCACAGGCUGAAUGAGAGGGGGCUGAAUGAGAGGGGAUUGAGGUGUCUGGCCGAGUGCCACAGGCUGAAUGAGAGGGGGCUGAAUGAGAGGGGAUUGAGGUGUCUGGCCGAGUGCCACAGGCUGAAUGAGAGGGGGCUGAAUGAGAGGGGAUUGAGGUGUCUGGCCGAGUGCCACAGGCUCGUGACGUGCAGUCACAACAGAGUUAGCUCUCGUUCCAUUGCUUUUCUACAGACAAUGGAAUUCUCCGGGUUGUAACUUUAUUGAAGAUUUAUGAUAAAAACAUCCUAAAGAUUGAUUCUAUACUUAGUUUGACAAGUUUCUACGACCUGUAAUAUAACUUUUUGAACUUUUCGUCCGACGUUCAGCUGGACCUGCACGCGCGUUUGGAUUUGUUUACCAAACGCCCUAACAAGAAGCUAUUUGGACAUAAAUGAUGAACUUUAUCAAACAAAUCAAACAUUUAUUGUGGAACUGGGAUUCCUGGGAGUGCAUUCUGAUGAAGAUCAUCAAAGGUAAGUGAAUAUUUAUCAUGUUAUUUCUGACUAAUGUUGACUACACAAUAUGGUGGAUAUCUUUUUGGCUGCUUUGUGGUCUGACUGUACUCAGAUUAUUGCAGGGUUUGCUUUUUCCGUAAAGUUUUUUUGAAAUCUGACACAGCGGUUGCAUUAUAGAUUGACACUCCUAAAUAACCACUACAAAAGUAUAGCCUCAAUCUUUGCAGAAAAAGGUUAAAGUGGUGCUUGAAUGAUCUGAUUUAUGAAUGUCAAUCAGGGUUUAUGAAAGGGCGCCAUAUAUCUAAUAAUCUGAGGCUGGUGUUAGACUUGGUUGAGUAUUGUGAUCUAUCGGAUGACUUCCCUGUUAUCUUAUUUUGGGGGAUUUUCAUUAAGCAUUUGAUAUAUACAGUAAGUCACAGUUU